AAGUCGUAACAAGGUCUCCGUUGGUGAACCAGCGGAGGGAUCAUUAACGAGUUAUACAACUCAUCAACCCUGUGAACAUACCUAAACGUUGCUUCGGCGGGAACAGACGGCCCCGUAACACGGGCCGCCCCCGCCAGAGGACCCCCUAACUCUGUUUCUAUCAUGUUUCUUCUGAGUAAACAAGCAAAUAAAUUAAAACUUUCAACAACGGAUCUCUUGGCUCUGGCAUCGAUGAAGAACGCAGCGAAAUGCGAUAAGUAAUGUGAAUUGCAGAAUUCAGUGAAUCAUCGAAUCUUUGAACGCACAUUGCGCCCGCCAGUAUUCUGGCGGGCAUGCCUGUUCGAGCGUCAUUACAACCCUCAGGCCCCCGGGCCUGGCGUUGGGGAUCGGCGGAGCCCCCUGCGGGCACACGCCGUCCCCCAAAUACAGUGGCGGUCCCGCCGCAGCUUCCAUUGCGUAGUAGCUAACACCUCGCAACUGGAGAGCGGCGCGGCCACGCCGUAAAACACCCAACUUCUGAAUGUUGACCUCGAAUCAGGUAGGAAUACCCGCUGAACUUAAGCAUAUCAAUAG
Molecule: ribosomal RNA, 573 nt
Filed under: Fusarium euwallaceae
Lineage: Eukaryota; Fungi; Ascomycota; Sordariomycetes; Hypocreales; Nectriaceae
Description: eukaryotic LSU rRNA
Rfam family: 5.8S ribosomal RNA (bases 197-350)
Source: RNAcentral